GAAGGCUUAGUUAAAUAAUAACAUUAACUUGUCAAAUUAAAAUUGCCAAUAAGCAGUCUUUA
Molecule: transfer RNA, 62 nt
Filed under: Neolucanus maximus
Lineage: Eukaryota; Metazoa; Arthropoda; Insecta; Coleoptera; Lucanidae
Description: tRNA-Asp
Source: RNAcentral